This 2751-nucleotide long non-coding RNA is filed under the name Mytilus galloprovincialis (Mediterranean mussel). Lineage: Eukaryota; Metazoa; Mollusca; Bivalvia; Mytilida; Mytilidae. The record is from RNAcentral.
GACACUAAUAAUAAUUACCUACAAAAUAAUAGGUGCUCCUUUACUGGGAAGAACAUUUCGGAUCCGAUCAAUUUAUUGGUUCCAUUCCCCCAUUCUACACUUCUCCUUAGAAAAAAUGCCUUGCAAUGCGUCAUAAUUAUCUGGACUACUAACUUACUUCCAUAUAACUUCGAAAACAGACUAUAAUCUAUUUCACUGGAUGAGAUUGGGCUCACGGAUUUUUUAAUGGAUUGGUAAUUUUUAUUUAUAGCACAAGUUUACAAAGCAAGAUUAAUCACAUUUUUCACCCGGCCUACAAAUCAAAUGGUUGCCUCCUUACUGACUUACACCUACACAAGCUAAAAAAACAUAUUCAUGGGGGGGGGGGGGGGGGUUCAGAUGGGGGAUGCUUGCCUCAGUCAUGUUUCUGUGAUUCCCUAUAUAAUCAACAAAAUUUUUCACACAAAAAGGGGGGCAGGGAUUUCUCCUUAAUAAGAAAUCUCUAUUUUCAGCAUAAGCUCAUAUAAAUUUGCCUUUUGAAGAACUGAAAUAAAUAUGAGACGGCUAAUGAUUUUUCAGAUGCUUUACAUUAAAAUACAUCCAUGUGACAUUCACAAUUAUAUAUAGAUCCAAAUUUAAAAAGCUAUUUUUUUCAAUAUUUAAAUAAUGUAGGAUCAAAUCUUGAUACAUGUAUGUAGUUGAAAUUGUUAGCUUUAAACAUGUUAAACAUUAAAAAAUGAACACCCAAAGUUUAAACCACGUUUAAACAUAAGAAUGACCAUGUAGUCUUUAUUAAUGUAUGCUAUUGCUAUGAAACUAGGUCAUUGUAGGUAAACUGUCAUCUAUUCCCUUAAAUCUUUGUUCCCAGUCACCCCAAGUUUGAUUUAAAUUAGUCAAGUAUAUCUACUCUAUUAGGUCUCUAGUUUGGAUAGUUAAUAACUUGCAAAUUACAAAUGAAUUAAAAUCAUACUCCUCCCAAAUUUAUUUCUUUAAAUAUUAUGGAUGAAAUACAUGUAGCAAGUAAGGGAUGAAAUUAAAUUGGAUGAAAUGUGGCAUUUUUUUUUUGAUAAAGUAGUAUGUCGUCUGAUGUUGUCAAACUUAAUUAUAGACCCUUAAGGGGCGGAUCCAGUCAUUUUAAAAAGGGGUGGGGGUGGGAUUCUAACCCAGGACAAAAGGGGAAGGGGGGGGGUCCAAUUACAUGUCCCUAUUCAAAUGCAUUGAUUAUCCAAAAAAAGGGGGGUUCCAAUCCCUUGAACCCCCCUCUGGAUCUGUGCCUGCCCUUUAAAAAUAAAAUUAUCCUUAUUUUGAGUUAAAGCUUAUAGAUUUUUCUAUAAUGCUUCUCAGGGGCGGAUCCAGCCAUUUUAAAAGGGGGGUCCCAACCAAGAGCAAAGAGGGGUUCCAACUAUAUCUCCCAUUCAAAUGCAUUGCUCGGUAAAAGAAAAGGAUUCCAACCCUCAAAUCUAUGGUCAGGUUGUUGUCUCUUUGACACAUUCCCUUUUUCCAUUCUCAAUUUUAUCAUGUAGUCGUCGUUGUCCCAGGACAUUUAGUUUUCGCUUAAUAACUUUAGUACAAGUAAUAGAAAUCUAUGAAAUUCAAACACAAGGUUUGUGACCAGAGUUUUUGUUCAGAGUUUAGGAAUUACAUGAAUUAGGGGCCAAUAGGGGCCAAUAUUAAACUUUGUUUGAUUUUAUAGAAAAUUGAAUUAUUGGAGUUCUUUGAUAUGCCAAAUCUAACUGUGUAUUUAGAUUCCUAGUUUUUUGGUCCUGUUUAAAUUGGUCUACCUUAAGGUCCAAAGGGUCCAAAAUUAAACUUAUUUUGAUUUUAACAAUAUUUAAAUUCCUUGGUGUUCAGAUUAAUAUGCUGAAUCUGAAUAUUUACUUAGAUUUUUUUAUUAUGGGCCCAAAUUCAAGUUGAUCCAAAUCGGGGUCCAAAAUUUUACUUUGUUUGAUUUCAACAAAAAUUGAUUAUAUGGGGCUCUUUGAUAUGCUGAAUCUAACCAUUCAUUAAGAUUUUUGAUAUUUUGACCCAUUAUCAAAUUGGUCCACAUUGAGUUCUAAAAGGUCCAAAAUUUAACUUUAUUUGAUUUCACCAAAAAAUGAAUUAUUGGGGUUCUUUGAUCAUGUUGAUAUGCUGCAUCUAACCAUGUAUUGAGAUUUUGAAUAUUGGACCAUUUUAGAGGUUAAUUGUCAAUUUAAAAUUUUUAAGUACUUGGACCGCAUUCAUUCUGUGUCAGAAACCUAUGCUGCAUCAACUAUUGAAUCACAAUCCAAAUUUAAAAUUCAGAGUUGUAUUGAGCUUGAAUGUUGUGUCCAUACUUGCCCCAACUGUUCUGGGUUCAACCUGUACGUUUGUAUCAAGCUGAGCCAUGCAUAGCAUUUUUAUCUGAUUUAUAUAUUAAUUUGAAAUUUUGACAAGUGAGACACAUACAGAUUAUACUGUUAACAAUAUUUCAGAGUUUAACGUAGUCAAGCGAAACAAAUUUUAGAAGAAUAGUUGAAUCAUGUCUUUGUUGUCAAAUGAAAAAUUAGUACGAACACAAAGAAAAAGUAUGGGAAUGUUUGUUUUUUAAACUAUUGACCAGGGUGAAAGUCUUUGAAAGUCAUGACUGGCAAAAAGUUUGUGAAAUGAAAUAGCACAAAUAUUCCAUUCUUUUUAAAUAUAACUGAAUAUAAAGAAAAACACAAACUGAUGUUUUAUAAUAGUUUUUACCCUUUUUAUGUUUUAUAGGACAAGAAAUAUAGAAAAAUGAUGAAAAAUAUAAACAGUUACAAU